AGCAAUAUGCAUGAAGCUAACUGACAGUGGGAUCAAAUUGCUUCUUUCAGCUUGUUCCUUUCACCUCACCGCGACCAUCCGCUACGCACAAACAACAGCAUAAACCACACCAUAACGCUCCAGUGCUAUCAGACCGAGAUAUGACUUCAGUGGCCCAGUAAGGAUUGGCUGGACACAACACCCACAUCAAAACAUCUGCCCUUCUCUGCGAGAGGGACUAAAGAGGAGUGCUUUCCCAUGAAGGACAGCGCAUUUGAAAGCCUCAUGCCAUGGACGGUGGUGGAGAUACUACCAAUGAAGUGAUGAAGAUCGAUUGUCGAUAUCAGUGGUGCCACAACAUCUAAUCCAGCCAGUGAAAGGAUCCUAAAAGACCUGGACGUACCCAGUGCCUGUGCCAAUGCUAAUGGGGCUCAUCUCCGCUCUCCGCGCUGGAUGGUCUAAACUGAAAGCCAGUCCGAUGGUAAUGUUUCUCAAAAAUAAACUUCAUUUCUAAAACAUUUGAACAAUGUGGCUGUCCUUAAAUCUAAGAGGAAAUGUUGCACUGUUUAUGUUUGUAAUUUUUGUUGUGCAGCACACAGCAGCUGUACUGUAUUCAGCUGCCAGUUUAUGAGGUGCACCUAGUCC
Long non-coding RNA from Acanthopagrus latus (yellowfin seabream), 624 nucleotides. RefSeq lists it as uncharacterized. NCBI's taxonomy places the organism in Eukaryota, Metazoa, Chordata, Actinopteri, Spariformes, Sparidae. The record is from RefSeq and is a predicted model, not a curated record. The transcript is spliced from 3 exons.